Molecule: non-coding RNA, 263 nt
Organism: Pelobates cultripes (western spadefoot toad)
Lineage: Eukaryota; Metazoa; Chordata; Amphibia; Anura; Pelobatidae
Source: the annotation of a GenBank genome assembly
GACAGAGUUAGGGAGGGAGUGACUAGUGACAGAGUGAGGGAGCGGGUGACACAGUGACAGAGUUAGGGAGGGAGUGACUAGUGACAGAGAGAUGGAUGGGGUGACUAGUGACAGUCACCACCUCCCUCACUCUGUCACUAGUCACCCCUCCCUUCCCUCACUCUGCCACUAGUCACCCCUUCCCUCACUCUAUCACCUGUCACCCCCUCACUCUGUCACUAGUCACCCCCUCACUCUGUCACUAGUCACCCCCUCACUCUAGU